CCUACGGGAGGCAGCAGUGAGGAAUAUUGGUCAAUGGACGAGAGUCUGAACCGGCCAAGUAGCGUGAAGGAUGACUGCCCUAUGGGUUGUAAACUUCUUUUAUAUGGGAAUAAAAUGUUCCACGUGUGGGAUUUUGUAUGUACCAUAUGAAUAAGGAUCGGCUAACUCCGUGCCAGCAGCCGCGGUAAUACGGAGGAUCCGAGCGUUAUCCGGAUUUAUUGGGUUUAAAGGGAGCGUAGGUGGAUUGUUAAGUCAGUUGUGAAAGUUUGCGGCUCAACCGUAAAAUUGCAGUUGAAACUGGCAGUCUUGAGUACAGUAGAGGUGGGCGGAAUUCGUGGUGUAGCGGUGAAAUGCUUAGAUAUCACGAAGAACUCCGAUUGCGAAGGCAGUUCACUGGACUGCAACUGACACUGAGGCUCGAAAGUGUGGGUAUCAAACAGGAUUAGAUACCCGAGUAGUC
This 460-nucleotide ribosomal RNA is filed under the name uncultured bacterium. RNAcentral's name for it is "partial 16S ribosomal RNA". It matches the Rfam family "Bacterial small subunit ribosomal RNA", at positions 338 to 795 of the family's 1533-position model. The record is from RNAcentral.